RNAcentral lists this ribosomal RNA (621 nucleotides) under Triticum aestivum (bread wheat). Its description in RNAcentral is "partial small subunit ribosomal RNA". The record is from RNAcentral. Lineage: Eukaryota; Viridiplantae; Streptophyta; Magnoliopsida; Poales; Poaceae.
AUGGCUUCAGCAGCUGGUUCAGCUGGCCUCGCUCUCAAGGUGGCCGCCGUCGCUGCCGUCCUCGCCAUGCUGCUCCUACCUUCAUGCGGCCGCUGUCCGUCGCUGGGGCCGGCACCACCGCCGCCAGCGCAGGCGCCACCACCGCUCGCGCCGACACCGCCGGCGCCGGCGCCGUGGAACCCACCAUGCUCUCAGUCCCGGCGCCAGCAAUGCUACUCGGAUACGUAUCCGGCAUGCUAUUCGGCGUGCACAACCUCCAACCCAUGCACCGAAUGCGAAUUGCUUGGUGCUCUCUGCAGCAACUGCAGGAUCGCCGCGAAAGACAAGUGCACGGCCGACUGCACCGGCGGCGGCUGUGACUGCGCCGCCGCCGCCGCCGCCAGUGCGUGCCGCACCGACUGCGGAGUGAAUUAUGGGCGCUGCCACAGCUGCACGACCGCCGAGACCGACAAGUGCAACGCCAACUGCACCAGCGGCGGCAGCUGUGACUGCCACGGCGCCGCCAAGAGUGCAUGCCGCAACGAUUGUGCCGCCGAAACAUGUUACUCGUGCGCGCGCGCGCAACUGAAGAAUUGCGACACCGUUUGCUCGGCCGAGUGCAACAAGUGUUUUGCGCCCUAG